UCGAGCGCNGUAGCAAUACGGAGCGGCAGACGGGAGAGUAACACGUGGGAACGUGCCCUUCAGUUCGGAACAACCCCAGGGAAACUUGGGCUAAUACCGGAUACGCCCCCGCGCGAGCGGGGGGAAAGAUUUAUCGCUGAAGGAUCGGCCCGCGUCUGAUUAGCUUGUUGGUGAGGUAACGGCUCACCAAGGCGACGAUCAGUAGCUGGUCUGAGAGGAUGAUCAGCCUCACUGGGACUGAGACACGGCCCAGACUCCUACGGGAGGCAGCAGUGGGGAAUAUUGGACAAUGGGCGCAAGCCUGAUCCAGCCAUGCCGCGUGGGUGAUGAAGGCCUUAGGGUUGUAAAGCCCUUUCGGCGGGGAAGAUAAUGACGGUACCUGCAGAAGAAGCCCCGGCUAACUUCGUG
This 408-nucleotide ribosomal RNA is filed under the name uncultured bacterium. RNAcentral's name for it is "bacterial SSU rRNA". It matches the Rfam family "Bacterial small subunit ribosomal RNA", at positions 62 to 507 of the family's 1533-position model. The record is from RNAcentral.